GGCGCGAUAGCUCAGGUGGUAGAGCGCGGGCCUGAAAAGCCCGGCGUCCCCCGUUCGACUCGGGGUCGCGCCA
This 73-nucleotide transfer RNA is filed under the name bacterium. Its description in RNAcentral is "tRNA-Phe". It matches the Rfam family "tRNA". From Rfam's summary of the family: Transfer RNA (tRNA) molecules are approximately 80 nucleotides in length. Their secondary structure includes four short double-helical elements and three loops (D, anti-codon, and T loops). Further hydrogen bonds mediate the characteristic L-shaped molecular structure. tRNAs have two regions of fundamental functional importance: the anti-codon, which is responsible for specific mRNA codon recognition, and the 3' end, to which the tRNAs corresponding amino acid is attached (by aminoacyl-tRNA synthetases). tRNAs cope with the degeneracy of the genetic code in two manners: having more than one tRNA (with a specific anti-codon) for a particular amino acid; and 'wobble' base-pairing, i.e. permitting non-standard base-pairing at the 3rd anti-codon position. The record is from RNAcentral. RNAcentral also lists the same sequence under 4 other names.